UACGUAGGGGGCUAGCGUUGUCCGGAAUCAUUGGGCGUAAAGCGCGCGUAGGCGGCCAGAUAAGUCCGGUGUGAAAGUCACAGGCUCAACCUGUGAAUGCCGCUGGAAACUGUCUGGCUAGAGUCCGGAAGGGGCGAGUGGAAUUCCAGGUGUAGCGGUGAAAUGCGCAGAUAUCGGGAGGAACACCAGUGGCGAAGGCGGCACUCUGGGCCAGUACUGACACUGAGGAGCGAAAGCGUGGGGAGCGAACAGG
Molecule: ribosomal RNA, 253 nt
Filed under: uncultured bacterium
Lineage: Bacteria
Description: partial 16S ribosomal RNA
Rfam family: Bacterial small subunit ribosomal RNA
Source: RNAcentral